RNAcentral lists this unclassified non-coding RNA (376 nucleotides) under uncultured Gammaproteobacteria bacterium. Its description in RNAcentral is "contains 16S-23S intergenic spacer region". The record is from RNAcentral. Lineage: Bacteria; Pseudomonadati; Pseudomonadota; Gammaproteobacteria.
UCCGGUUUGUCACCGGCAGUCUGCCUAGAGUCCCCAACUAAAUGCUGGCAACUAGGCACAGGGGUUGCGCUCGUUACGGGACUUAACCCAACAUCUCACGACACGAGCUGACGACAGCCAUGCAGCACCUGUCUCUUAGUUCCCGAAGGCACCCUCGCGUCUCCGCAAGGUUCUAAGGAUGUCAAGGGUAGGUAAGGUUUUUCGCGUUGCAUCGAAUUAAACCACAUGCUCCACCGCUUGUGCGGGCCCCCGUCAAUUUCUUUGAGUUUUAGCCUUGCGGCCGUAUUCCCCAGGCGGAGUACUUAAUGCGUUAGCUUCGCCACUGAAAGGCAGUGCCUCCCAACAGCUAGUACUCAUCGUUUACAGCGUGGACUAC